GAUUUCCGGUACAAAUUAUUUUUUUAGACAGCUUCCUUCUCACUUGAUUUUAGUAAACAGUUGAAUGUAUUUUGCCAACAAUGUUAUCAUUUUUGUUUUUGGACUGUGAUAACAGAAUUGUGAAUCAUACAAGGAAGGACAAAAAAGCAUAUAUGAAUCAGAAUAUAAUGCCUGUUUACCUGGUCAUGUGGUAUGCACGCUGGACUGUAGUUCUGACUUCUCAAUGGUCCUGGGUUCAUACCCUACCAGCUGCCAUCUCCUGUCGUCCAGUGGGAGGUUUGGGCUUGGAAAAAAUUUAUUUUCAACUCUGAAGGAACAUGUGAACCAUGUAAAACAUUUUACAAGCAUAAGAUUUACUAGACACAAGAGAGAAAGAUGUUCUUCUGCUGGCUAAACAUGGAUAGUUAGAUGUUCCUGAUUGUACAUGGACUCUAUUUGGAUGGUUUUGCCUGGGACUGUGAUCACAUGACUGUUGGUGACCAAUUGAAAGGCCAGAUGCAGGCAAAUUUGCCUGUCAUGCACAUGGAUCCUCGCCUAGACUAUGAACCGGAUUUAUCUCUCUAUCCAGCGCCACUCUACAAAACUGAUGCAAGAGCUGGCACACUUUCCACUACAGGACAUUCUACUAACUUUGUUGUAACUGUCCACCUUCCUUCAAGCAACACACAAGAUUACUGGAUAGCCAAAGGUGCAGCACUCUUAUGUCAAAUUUCUGAUUAAUUUUGCUUACAGAUAAGUUUUAAAGCAUUUAACAAUAAAAACAAUGUCCAUUACAAA
Biomphalaria glabrata is the source of this 777-nucleotide long non-coding RNA. RefSeq lists it as uncharacterized. The record is from RefSeq and is a predicted model, not a curated record. The transcript is spliced from 6 exons. Lineage: Eukaryota; Metazoa; Mollusca; Gastropoda; Planorbidae.